GGAGGGUAUAGCUCAGUGGUAGAGCGUGUGCUUAGCAUGCACAAGGUCCUGGGUUCAAUCCCCAGUAUCUCCA
Molecule: transfer RNA, 73 nt
Filed under: Vicugna pacos (alpaca)
Lineage: Eukaryota; Metazoa; Chordata; Mammalia; Artiodactyla; Camelidae
Description: tRNA-Ala (AGC) (tRNA-Ala-AGC-33-1)
Rfam family: tRNA
About the family: Transfer RNA (tRNA) molecules are approximately 80 nucleotides in length. Their secondary structure includes four short double-helical elements and three loops (D, anti-codon, and T loops).
Source: RNAcentral